UACUGGUGUUCAGACAUGUGCUUUUCCAAUGUUCAUCAAGUCUCCCUAUCAGGAAUUCACUGACCAUCUUGUAAAGACACACACCAGAGUCUCUGUGCAGAGGACACAGGCUCCAGUUGUGUUUACCACAU
Molecule: long non-coding RNA, 131 nt
Organism: Leopardus geoffroyi (Geoffroy's cat)
Lineage: Eukaryota; Metazoa; Chordata; Mammalia; Carnivora; Felidae
Exons: 4
Source: RefSeq, a predicted model, not a curated record